Molecule: long non-coding RNA, 451 nt
Filed under: Bos taurus (domestic cattle)
Lineage: Eukaryota; Metazoa; Chordata; Mammalia; Artiodactyla; Bovidae
Description: long non-coding RNA NONBTAT014091
Source: RNAcentral
UUUUAUGGCGGUUUGCUUAAAGGGAGAGAGAGCCAUAAUCUGUAUUUAAGAUUAAAAGAAGCCUUUAAUCCACAUGCUCAGCAUUAAACAAGGGAGUGGAGUCAUGUUUUGAUCAAAAGUUACUGCGGGCAUAAAAGAAAGCAAUGUAAAUGUUCUUUUAGGAAUUAAAAAUAAAAAAGGCUCCAGUAAAUUAUAUUGAGGAAGUGUUCGUAACCAUUUGCUUUGGGGAAAAAAAAAUGAAAAGGAAAAACAUCUGAUUUUCAUUUUGGACAAGAAUACUUAGCUCAAAUAAAAUACAAGGGAAUAGGGUUUUAUUUGAUUUGUAUAAUAUCACUAAAAAUAAGGGAGCUGCCAUUCAGGCUUCCUUGUACCAGUAAUCAUUCUCCUACUGAAUCUAUUUUUUACCCUCACUUUCCUAGGCCGGGUCUGCAUCUUUGGGAGGUGUAAUUAC